Molecule: ribosomal RNA, 650 nt
Filed under: uncultured bacterium
Lineage: Bacteria
Description: bacterial SSU rRNA
Rfam family: Bacterial small subunit ribosomal RNA
Source: RNAcentral
UGCAGUCGAGCGAUGGAUUAGAGAGCUUGCUCUUAUGAAGUUAGCGGCGGACGGGUGAGUAACACGUGGGUAACCUGCCCAUAAGACUGGGAUAACUCCGGGAAACCGGGGCUAAUACCGGAUAAUAUUUUGAACUGCAUGGUUCGAAAUUGAAAGGCGGCUUCGGCUGUCACUUAUGGAUGGACCCGCGUCGCAUUAGCUAGUUGGUGAGGUAACGGCUCACCAAGGCAACGAUGCGUAGCCGACCUGAGAGGGUGAUCGGCCACACUGGGACUGAGACACGGCCCAGACUCCUACGGGAGGCAGCAGUAGGGAAUCUUCCGCAAUGGACGAAAGUCUGACGGAGCAACGCCGCGUGAGUGAUGAAGGCUUUCGGGUCGUAAAACUCUGUUGUUAGGGAAGAACAAGUGCUAGUUGAAUAAGCUGGCACCUUGACGGUACCUAACCAGAAAGCCACGGCUAACUACGUGCCAGCAGCCGCGGUAAUACGUAGGUGGCAAGCGUUAUCCGGAAUUAUUGGGCGUAAAGCGCGCGCAGGUGGUUUCUUAAGUCUGAUGUGAAAGCCCACGGCUCAACCGUGGAGGGUCAUUGGAAACUGGGAGACUUGAGUGCAGAAGAGGAAAGUGGAAUUCCAUGUGUAGCGGUGAAAU